Molecule: long non-coding RNA, 1319 nt
Organism: Lathyrus oleraceus (garden pea)
Lineage: Eukaryota; Viridiplantae; Streptophyta; Magnoliopsida; Fabales; Fabaceae
Exons: 2
Source: RefSeq, a predicted model, not a curated record
UUACAUAAAAAAACAAAAAAAUCUCUUUACACCUCUCCCAACGGUCUGCCAGACACCUCACCCCACUAAGUUCCCACUCACAUUCCACUCUUCCACUCUCAUUCCUCAGCACAUGCUGAAUAAAACAAAAAAAGAAAAGGAUAAAAGAGAAGGCGUAUGCAUUAUCACAGGGGGCAUUAUCUCUGAAUCUCUCUCACGCUCUUUCCGGAUACACACAAAUUCACUGACGUAACCCUCUCUUCUCUCUCAUUUUCUCUCAAAGAAAAAGAAAAAAGGUGAAAGAAGAUUGUUCAUCUUCUUCGUCACCAAACCCUCAUUCUCCUUCAAAACCAAACACAAAUCCCUCACACACAAACCCUAUUCAUCGUCUCUCUCAAUCGCCGCCGCCUAACACCCAACGAAACCCUUCACUUUUUUUCUCCUCCUCACAAAUUACUCAUCCAAAAAAAAAACCUAGCCGCCAUCACCUUCAUUACACGCAUCCGCCGCCCUUCAUCUUUCUCUCCGCCACACCCUUUCUUCAUCACCGCCCCAACCACCAUCCUUUACCUUCUGUUUUCUUCACAAAACCCACCGGCAAACAACCUCCGCCGUUACAACCCUUAAACUCACCCUCUUCACCGUUAACCCUCCGACGAAUCCCAAAACCACAACCUCAAACGACCGCCGUUUCUUUUCCAACCCUUUCACAACCAUCGUCCUAUUCACCGCACAUCCGACCACUCACCGUGGCAGAAUCUUGUCGGUGAUAGCUCAACCUUCCAUCAUCAAUAUUGUUCACAACAUCACAACACGGGUCCGUCAUUGUCAUCUGGGACAACGACACGCAAACGACCGUCAAAACCAUGACCUCACGCAUUCGCCGUUGAUCUUCUUCCACCAAACCGAAAACAACUCAGUGGUGCCAUAGGAUAUCAAACAAGGACGAUGCCACUUGCUUCAAUUUCGUUUUGGACAAUUUCAAGUUAGAGGGUUUUUAUUGAUCGGUUCGCUGCUGGUUUUUGUUUGGUUGUUUAUGCAGGUAAGGGUUCUGUUAAGACUCGGAACGGAAAGAUCCAGAUUCGCUUCAUCAACGGUGCUGCAUUCGAAUGUGUUUCGGAAUAAGUGUUGGAUUUAUGUCGACAUUGCAGUAGUCCUGUAAACAAUUAAGUUGUUCUUAUUGUGGGCACCUUAUCAUGUUAGAAAUUCUGCUGCUAAAAAUUUUCAUUUUAUGAAUGGUUCACAUAAGGCUUCGGUUUAUUAAGUAUUUGUUGUGGCACUGCUACCGUUAUGUUUCUCGGACGGGUGGUUAUGAAUAUCAUGGUGAUUCUCUUUUCUUC